GUGUCAGCCGCCGCGGUAAUACGUAGGGUCCAAGCGUUAAUCGGAAUUACUGGGCGUAAAGCGUGCGCAGGCGGUUGUGCAAGACCGAUGUGAAAUCCCCGGGCUUAACCUGGGAAUUGCAUUGGUGACUGCACGGCUAGAGUGUGUCAGAGGGGGGUAGAAUUCCACGUGUAGCAGUGAAAUGCGUAGAGAUGUGGAGGAAUACCGAUGGCGAAGGCAGCCCCCUGGGAUAACACUGACGCUCAUGCACGAAAGCGUGGGGAGCAAACAGGAUUAGAUACCCUGGUAGUCCACGCCCUAAACGAUGUCAACUAGUUGUUGGGGAUUCAUUUCCUUAGUAACGUAGCUAACGCGUGAAGUUGACCGCCUGGGGAUACGGUCGCAAGNUUAAAACUCAAAG
This 400-nucleotide ribosomal RNA is filed under the name uncultured bacterium. RNAcentral's name for it is "bacterial SSU rRNA". It matches the Rfam family "Bacterial small subunit ribosomal RNA", at positions 505 to 906 of the family's 1533-position model. The record is from RNAcentral.